CAGUCGCCGCGGUAAAACGGAGGAUCCAAGCGUUAUCCGGAAUCAUUGGGUUUAAAGGGUCCGUAGGCGGUCUUGUAAGUCAGUGGUGAAAGCCCAUCGCUCAACGGUGGAACGGCCAUUGAUACUGCAGGACUUGAAUUAUUGGGAAGUAACUAGAAUAUGUAGUGUAGCGGUGAAAUGCUUAGAGAUUACAUGGAAUACCAAUUGCGAAGGCAGGUUACUACCAAUUGAUUGACGCUGAUGGACGAAAGCGUGGGUAGCGAACAGGAUUAGAUACCCGCGUAGUCCCUGUCUCUUAUAC
RNAcentral lists this ribosomal RNA (301 nucleotides) under uncultured bacterium. RNAcentral describes it as "partial 16S ribosomal RNA". It matches the Rfam family "Bacterial small subunit ribosomal RNA", at positions 509 to 807 of the family's 1533-position model. The record is from RNAcentral.